RNAcentral lists this long non-coding RNA (582 nucleotides) under Anas platyrhynchos (mallard). Its description in RNAcentral is "lncRNA (ENSAPLG00020012842.1)". The record is from RNAcentral. Lineage: Eukaryota; Metazoa; Chordata; Aves; Anseriformes; Anatidae.
GAAAGCCCACAGGACAGCUCCCGGCUGCACUGCAAGCCUCUGUCCCACCAUCCCCAGCUCACAGCAAAGCUGACACCUGAAGCAGAAGCUGCUCCCCAAAAGCAGCACCCCAAAAGAUGCUGGGGCAGGCGCCAUGGGCAAGGCUGUCUCCUUCUGGCCCUGCCGUCCUGCUGCUGGCCCUCUGUGGCAGCAUGAGCUCCCAGGACAUCUGCAGCUUCCCAGGUACCACAGUUGUGCUCCAGUGUAUUCUCCAUGUGGUGUCACCUGUAAGACAAAUCAUUUUCUGCAAGGAUGGGAAGGAGGUGUACAGUCUGAAAGCCCAGCAAGGGCAGCUGAGCUAUGCUGUGGUCCUGAACAUCACAUCAAGAAGUGCAGGAAGAUAUACAUGUGGGUACCAGCAGAGGAAUGAGAUGAAACACAUGAGGAGCUCUGCCCUCAGUGCUGGCCGCAUCCUGGAUGUCCCUGGCAAUGUGGUGAGUUCCCCAGCAAGUCCACCACCCCCAGGUGAGUGAUUCCCUCCUGCACCUCCUGUACCCCCAGGCAGCAGCCCCUCACACAAGGCCCAUCUCCCUUCCAGAGGUG